CUGAACGAGGUUAGAUGGUAGGA
Molecule: non-coding RNA, 23 nt
Filed under: Arabidopsis thaliana (thale cress)
Lineage: Eukaryota; Viridiplantae; Streptophyta; Magnoliopsida; Brassicales; Brassicaceae
Source: RNAcentral